Molecule: ribosomal RNA, 252 nt
Filed under: uncultured bacterium
Lineage: Bacteria
Description: partial 16S ribosomal RNA
Rfam family: Bacterial small subunit ribosomal RNA
Source: RNAcentral
UACGUAGGUCCCGAGCGUUGUCCGGAUUUAUUGGGCGUAAAGCGAGCGCAGGUGGUUUAUUAAGUCUGGUGUAAAAGGCAGUGGCUCAACCAUUGUAUGCAUUGGAAACUGGUAGACUUGAGUGCAGGAGAGGAGAGUGGAAUUCCAUGUGUAGCGGUGAAAUGCGUAGAUAUAUGGAGGAACACCGGUGGCGAAAGCGGCUCACUGGCCUGUAACUGACACUGAGGCUCGAAAGCGUAGGGAGCAAACAGG